Molecule: long non-coding RNA, 1091 nt
Organism: Capsicum annuum
Lineage: Eukaryota; Viridiplantae; Streptophyta; Magnoliopsida; Solanales; Solanaceae
Exons: 2
Source: RefSeq, a predicted model, not a curated record
AUAUCAAAUGAAGUAGGGAGGUUGGUUCGGAUAUAACCGGACGUAUUUCUCUUUUCCUAUGAUAGGAUUUGACAUAAAUAUAAAUUAGUUGGUUGCUUUCCAUCACAUCUUUGAUCUUACUGUCAAGAGAGAAAUAAAGGAGGAGGACGCCGGCCUAAGGCUAAGCAACCGAAUUGGUCACCUGGCAAACAACAAGCCUUUUCUUGUUUUCAACUACCACUCCUCUUCAUAAUAUACAGUAUAAAUUCACUCUCUUCAGCAACUCUUUCUCCCUUGUCCCCCACCCCACUCCACCAAAUCCAACUGCCCCCAAUCAAUAACAACAAAAAAAUAUAUAUAUAUAUAUUUAGUGUAGUUUCACAAAGUAAGGUUUGGGCCGUCCACAACUGAUGAAGAACAAAAUUUUCCUGUGUUUUCGACCUGUUGAUGUCGCUGAGGACUCUGUUAUACGUAACCAUCACUCUUCUGUAAAAAUACACCACAAAGAAGAUUCAACUUUGAAAACAAAAAGAAAGAGGACGAGGAGCAGUAAAGACAAGUCAUUAACGAAAGCAAGCUCAUCAUCAUCAUCUGAACUUUCAUAUUCAACUUCAUCUUUAUCAUCAACUACAUCAUCAUUAUCUUCUUGUUCUUCUACAGAAGAUGAGUUAUCAAGGUCAAACUCAUCAACCUCAUCAAUUUGUCACCAUCAAAAAGAAGCUAAAAUUGGUUUGGAAGAAUGUGACAAAGUCAUGGAUUUUUCUUCACGUUCAUGUUGUGUAUUUUUGUUUAUUUUUAUUUUGUUUGUGCUUAUCUAUAUUGGUAAGGUCUAUGCUAUAGUCAUAACGUCAUUAGGGGUUAUGAUCUUCACCUUAGUUGGACGAGUUAAUUUCUCAUAGAAUUAGUUAUUCGAUUAAAAUUUAUUAUUUCAGAAAGUUACUUUAUUUAUUGAAGAACAAUAAAAAAGGUGACUUUAUGAAAUAAUAAUUAUUAAUUGAGUGAUUAUAUGAUAAAUUAAAUCAAUCCGUUGGAUGUCCAAAAUUGGAAAAUCAAUGUAAUUGCCGAAACUGAAAUAAGGAGAGAGAGCAAAAGGGUAAUCCCUCUGUAUUGCA